AUUGAACGCUGGCGGCAGGCUUAACACAUGCAAGUCGAGCGGGGUGAUGGUGCUUGCACUAUCACUUAGCGGCGGACGGGUGAGUAAUGCUUAGGAAUCUGCCUAUUAGUGGGGGACAACAUCUCGAAAGGGAUGCUAAUACCGCAUACGUCCUACGGGAGAAAGCAGGGGAUCACUUGUGACCUUGCGCUAAUAGAUGAGCCUAAGUCGGAUUAGCUGGUGGGGGGGGUAAAGGCCUACCAAGGCGGCGAUCUGUAGCGGGUCUGAGAGGAGUCUCCGCCAGACUGGGACGAAGACACGGCCCAGACUCCGACGGGAGGAAGCAGGGGGGAAUAUUGGACAAUGGGGGGAACCCUGAUCCAGCCAUGCCGCGUGUGGGAAGAAGGCCUUAUGGUUGUAAAGCACUUUAAGCGAGGAGGAGGCUCUUUUGGUUAAUACCCAAGAUGAGUGGACGUUACUCGCAGAAUAAGCACCGGCUAACUCUGUGCCAGCCGCCGCCGUAA
RNAcentral lists this ribosomal RNA (503 nucleotides) under uncultured bacterium. Its description in RNAcentral is "partial 16S ribosomal RNA". It matches the Rfam family "Bacterial small subunit ribosomal RNA", at positions 30 to 523 of the family's 1533-position model. The record is from RNAcentral.